GAUUAUGGCUCAGGAUGAACGCUGGCGGCGUGCCUAACACAUGCAAGUCGAACGGGGUUAAGGGAAGUUUCGGAUGGAACUUAACUUAGUGGCGGACGGGUGAGUAACGCGUGGAUAACCUGCCUCGCACUGGGGGAUAGCAGCUGGAAACGGCUGGUAAUACCGCAUAAGACCACGGUGCCGCAUGGCACUGGGGUAAAAGAUUUAUCGGUGCGAGAUGGAUCCGCGUCUGAUUAGCCAGUUGGCGGGUAACGGCCCACCAAAGCGACGAUCAGUAGCCGGCCUGAGAGGGUGAACGGCCACAUUGGGACUGAGACACGGCCCAAACUCCUACGGGAGGCAGCAGUGGGGAAUAUUGCACAAUGGGCGCAAGCCUGAUGCAGCAAACCGCCGCGUGAGUGAAGAAGUAUUUCGGUAUGUAAAGCUCUAUCGGCAGGGAAGAAAGGCCCGAAAGGGAGAUGACGGUACCUGACUAAGAAGCCCCGGCUAACUACGUGCCAGCCGCCGC
Molecule: ribosomal RNA, 508 nt
Filed under: uncultured bacterium
Lineage: Bacteria
Description: bacterial SSU rRNA
Rfam family: Bacterial small subunit ribosomal RNA
Source: RNAcentral